GAAGGCGAGCUGGAUGCCUCUCUGCUCUGAAGGUGUUUCAUGGAGACCAGUUCCCCGAUUUUCACAUGUCCCCUGGCUGCACUUUAACAGGUGGCACUGCAGAGCAUGAGGGUUGGGACUUGCUGAUCAUCCCCUUUGGCAGCUCUCUCCAAAAUGCCUGGUCCCCAGGGCUCUCCCAGAGGGGGAAGAGAUCCCAGGCUGCAGUUGGAAGCAUGAAGAGGAGACGUGGCAGAGGGCUGACGCUCUGAGUUUGCCACUACCGAUGUGUGCACCAGCAAGCAGGACUGGCCGAGUGCCAGCGCUUAUCCAGUAAACUGCCAUCCUGUUACUGUCACCUCCUGGCAGCUGAGGACACCCUGAUUCCAAAAUUUGAUGGCCGACUUCCAAGCCUGCCGCUGCCGGGGUGCGAUCACCGAGGGAACGCGAGCGCUGAGCAGCCGCGGUUUAAAUGUCACCGCCGGGGAAAACCCACCGCUUCUGAGCAGGGCUGGCUGCCCUCGGCAGGAGAAGAGGAAAAGUGCAGCCGGUCAAACGGCCCGGUGCCCGCUGUGGGGGGUGGCGGGGGGUGCAGCCGCCCUUCUCUCUCCCUCUGCACCCUCCGAGCAACGCUCCGGUCCCCUCCCCUCCCUCCCCCCCCAAGCUCUGGGGAGAGGGGUGGUCAGUACCGGCGGCGUGUCCCGGAUGGGGACCGGGAUCGGAAAGAACUGGUGAUGGCACGAAGCUAUUCUGCGAGUGCCAUCCAGGGGACGAGAGCUGUACUUCAGCUGCCGGCGGGGCUUGGGGGGGGACGACACACACGGCUCCAGGGAAGGUGCGGGGCGGGUUAACGCGUGACUUUCUGGGGCUGUGGAUCUUCAUUAGGUGGAGGCAAGCGAAGUGAGAUGCCUGAAACUUUCCAGAGCCCACCCAGAGCUCAGCCUGGCCACGGGACGGGGUUGCAAGUGGAAUUGGUAAGGUGAGGAGUGUCAGGAGUUUCUGAAGUGACCAUAACCUCCUCAGCCAGUUUAAAAAUCCUAAUUCUGGCAGUUAAAGUUUGUGUAUCCCCCACCCCUAGGACCCCUCGCGAUCCCUGUCCCCGAGAGCUGCUCAAACCUUGGGGCUAUUGCUUCAAAAAGCACCUGAGCCUCAGAGGGAAAACGCAUCCUGCGCUGCUGCCCAUCACCAUCCCGGGACUACAAGGUGUUUAACGGGCAUAAAACACGA
This is a long non-coding RNA of Tyto alba (common barn owl), 1203 nucleotides long. RefSeq lists it as uncharacterized. The transcript is spliced from 3 exons. NCBI's taxonomy places the organism in Eukaryota, Metazoa, Chordata, Aves, Strigiformes, Tytonidae. The record is from RefSeq and is a predicted model, not a curated record.